This 1942-nucleotide long non-coding RNA is filed under the name Octopus bimaculoides (California two-spot octopus). RNAcentral's name for it is "uncharacterized LOC106870774". Lineage: Eukaryota; Metazoa; Mollusca; Cephalopoda; Octopoda; Octopodidae. The record is from RNAcentral.
GAGAUGAGAAAUGAUGUCUUUUGCUAUUGAAUUAGAAAUGUUUGAAAUCAAUUUUCAUUAACAUUCUACAAAUCUGAAAGCUUAUUAACCCUUCAAAGAAAAUAGUGACUCAUAUAUAUGCGUUUUAAUUUGGCAGAGGGACUAGUACAAUGGUAAAAGGUAUAUUUUGUGUUAAUAUUUCAGUAGUUAUGUAGACCAAUAUUUUAGAGAUGUACAUUGAAAAAUGAGGUUGCAAAGAGAAGAAUUUUGAACUAUCGUAUUUUAGACAAAAACAAUUCCAAAUAGCAUACAAGAUACUAGAAUGGUAACAUGUAAAUGAAAAGAACAUUAUAUAAUGGUGUACCAAAUAUAUUGGUUUGAAAUUUUGACAUCAGGCCGGCAAUUUCGAGGGAGGGGUAAGACGAAUACAUCGACCCUGUACUCAGCCGAGGCUUAUUCUAUCGGUCCUAAAAAGAUGAAAGUUAAAGAUGACUUCGGCAGAAUUUGAACUCAGAACGUAAAAGAGGGACGAAAUGCCGUUACGUUUUUGCCCGGCGUACUAAGGAUUUGGCCAGCUCGCAGUUUGAUGUACAUAAUAUACUGAAUAUAUCUAAAGAGCAGAGUAAUCAGCAUAGACAUACUGAAGUUUUGUGGCGCUUUACCAAGCGUAGAGGGUGUUGAUCUAAGACCAUAAGAUCAUGGGUUCGAUUCUUCGUCCGAGUGGCACGUUGUGUCACUAACAACGCAUUGUAUCCACGUUGCUCCGGUACAAUCUGCUGAAAAUUAGUGUCCUCCAAGUACUCUUGUCGACUUCUCCUAUAACACCUGCUAUUUAUUCGAUAUUUUGCUGAGUGAAGUAUAUGAGGGCCAAAAGGCUAUCUAAUUCCACUCAAUACAAUACAGGCUCCGAAGACCAUUAUCGAAAGCCGUUUACAUGUUCCUAACCACUGCUCAGUUGUACGAGAGAGUUAUCCUUAAAAUACAAUGGACAAAAUAAUUAACUGGUGUUACAUAGUUACUAUUUGAUACUAAAACAGAGAAGCAUUAUGUUGCAAACUAUUUUUUCUGUCAACAUUUUCUCAAUAAGUGAAGGAGGAGCCGGAAAAAAUGUGUCAUAACUUUGUAUUAACAUAUUCAUAAUUUCUUUAUAUCCAUUCAUUGAAAUUAAGUGAGUUCUCUUCAAAUCGAGAAUCGUGCUUUGAAGAAAUUCACCAAAGAAGGUAUUUCGGAGACAUUGAAAAGAGAAUGAGCUACGAAAAUGUAUCCAGAAGAUAUAGAUUUUAAAUAGAGCAGUAUAAUAUUUAUUAGACUGCGGCCAUGCUAGGGCAUGAAGGAUGUUAGGUCAACGAAUCGAUCCCAGUACCAUUUAACUUUAAUGCACGGUUUUCUGAGAACACUUCCCUUGAUAGCAUAAAGAAGCUAUCUCCGUUAUUUGGAAAAACAGUCGACCAUUGCCAGCUUUCGUUCAUUUUUGGAUGAAUUCCUUGAGAAAUUAAAGACUCAGUACUUAUGAUAGAUUCCUUCUUGCUUCUACGCAUGCCUGGAAAUAGACAAUGUCUAUAUUUCCUUUUGAACCUUCUAGCAAAAUUUGGGUUGUGCCGUUGUUGCAGUCAAGGCUUUCGUUAUUGUGAUUAAAAUUUGAGUUUUCCCAAAAAUUCUUUUGUAUUUGUGAAAUUAUAACUGUGUGUACAAUCUGGUACCACACUUGUGACUAACAACUUCUAUCGCUACAUCAGAAGCAGCUAUAUUGCACCGCUAAUAAACAAAGUAAAACGUAUGUUUGCAGAAAUAUAUAUACACAAUAAAACGUCUGAGAACGAACCAGUUUUGUUACCCCGGGUAAUGGCGUGAGUUAUAAAUAUUCUGAAAGCCUUUGCUGUUAGAAAGAACUAAACAAAAUAUUUUCCCAUCAAGUAAUUACUGAAGAAAAUAUCUUUUAAGCAGAGAUCUAUGAAACGUGACC